RNAcentral lists this ribosomal RNA (597 nucleotides) under Hamigera terricola. RNAcentral's name for it is "eukaryotic LSU rRNA". It matches the Rfam family "Eukaryotic large subunit ribosomal RNA", at positions 37 to 649 of the family's 3401-position model. The record is from RNAcentral. Lineage: Eukaryota; Fungi; Ascomycota; Eurotiomycetes; Eurotiales; Aspergillaceae.
AGCAUAUCAAUAAGCGGAGGAAAAGAAACCAACAGGGAUUGCCUCAGUAACGGCGAGUGAAGCGGCAAGAGCUCAAAUUUGAAAUCUGGCCCCUCCGGGGUCCGAGUUGUAAUUUGCAGAGGAUGCUUCGGAUACGGCCCCCGUCUAAGUGCCCUGGAACGGGCCGUCGGAGAGGGUGAGAAUCCCGUCUGGGACGGGGUGUCCGUGUCCGUGUGAAGCUCCUUCGACGAGUCGAGUUGUUUGGGAAUGCAGCUCUAAAUGGGUGGAAAAUUUCAUCUAAAGCUAAAUAUUGGCCGGAGACCGAUAGCGCACAAGUAGAGCGAUCGAAAGAUGAAAAGCACUUUGAAAAGAGAGUUAAACAGCACGUGAAAUUGUUGAAAGGGAAGCGCUUGCGACCAGACUCGCCGACGGGGUUCAGCCGGGAUUCGUCCCGGUGUACUUCCCCGCCGGCGGGCCAGCGUCGGUUUGGGCGGCCGGUCAAAGGCCUCCGGAAUGUAUCGCCCUCCGGGGCGUCUUAUAGCCGGAGGUGCAAUGCGGCCUGCCCGGACCGAGGAACGCGCUUCGGCACGGACGCUGGUAUAAUGGUCGUAAGCGACC